CAUUUUUUGGCUGGAAUAUGGCGGCAGGCCUAAAAGGAGUCAUGGUCUGAAUGGGGGGCAUCGCGAGUGGAUUUGCAUAAUCUGUGGCGUGGCACUGGUGCACAGACACAGAGAGAGACGGUGCCAACCAGUCCAAGGUUAGAGCUCCAUCCUGAGGUAACACGUGGAGAGGUCCGGAGGUUGUGGUCCUCAUUGUUCACUCAGCAGGAUGGAUCUGUGGACUUUCAACAGUUUAUACGUCACUUUGGCCCGUCUCCCAAAUCCUGCUGUUACCCCAAUGCCAAGCACAAUCCCCCCAAACGUGGAGACAAUGACUUUAUGCGCCUCUCCAAAAGACUCAACUGCGUCUCAGAUAUACUAGUGGAUGCUCUACGGGCCAAGGUGGAGUUGUCUGUUUCUGAGCUCUGGACUGAGUUCUCCGAAAUGGAUUUUUCUGGAACAGGUUUUGUUAGCAGUGAUGAAUUUAAAGACAUCCUUAUGAGUCUCUGUGUUCAUCUCAGCCAGCAUGAGUGUGAUCUGUUGGCCAAGAAGUUUGACAUCAACCAUGAUGACAGGUAGAUACACUUACAUUAGGGAAGA
Molecule: long non-coding RNA, 579 nt
Organism: Sinocyclocheilus anshuiensis
Lineage: Eukaryota; Metazoa; Chordata; Actinopteri; Cypriniformes; Cyprinidae
Source: Ensembl